CACUUAGAAGAUGGUGAUGCCCUGACUCCU
This 30-nucleotide non-coding RNA is filed under the name Mus musculus (house mouse). The record is from RNAcentral. Lineage: Eukaryota; Metazoa; Chordata; Mammalia; Rodentia; Muridae.